Ictidomys tridecemlineatus (thirteen-lined ground squirrel) is the source of this 795-nucleotide non-coding RNA. The record is from RefSeq and is a predicted model, not a curated record. NCBI's taxonomy places the organism in Eukaryota, Metazoa, Chordata, Mammalia, Rodentia, Sciuridae.
GGGAGGCCAAGCUGGAGGUCAGAGCCCAGGGUGCCUGGUGCCACUGGUACAUUCUUCCUGGACGCUCUUGAGGCAGCAGAGACCAAGCCUUGCCUAUUUGCCGUCUUAGCUGUCCUCACCUCUUGCCUGCUUUCUCCAGGACCUGCCUCCACACCAGAGUUAUGCACAUUGAGAGAAGAAAGCGGCUUUAGAGAUCAUCUUUACCAAAACAACAGAGAAGCAAUGUCCAGCUGUUUUGUUUCAGACGUGCAGGUUGAUAACCAAGCAGAAAAAGUGACUUGAAGGCAAGGAAUUUAAGACUGACCCUUCCAGACCAUUCCCUGCCCCUGCACCAUCCUCCAGGCUGCCAGUGUCCACACUCUGUGCCUUGGCUUCUCCUGGACCCUCUGCCAGUGGUGCCCUCUCCGUCAUCUGUCUACAAUGGUUUGUUCCUGAAAUGCCUUCACUCUCUACAUUUGAUGCUGAUGUUAAAUGCCACCUCUUUCAUGAAGCCUUCUCUGAUUGCCCCAGUUGCAUAAGUAGGUUCUCCACCUACCACCCCCGGUUCUUAUCAUCCUGGGUCCGAGAUGAAAACACACCAGAUGGGAUGAACAGCAUGUUGGUGACUAUAAAACAGAAAAUGAGUGAAUUCAAGGACACAGCAACAGACACAUAAAAUCAAAGCCAGAAUGAAACCCAAAGAGACGAAAAGAGAAAAAUCAAAAGAGCCUGGGGAGUCAGUGAUCCGUGGGAUAACUUCAGGUAGUCUUUAAGGAGUCACAGGAAAAAGAGGGUACCUAGAGUAAUAUUAAAGAA